This 332-nucleotide unclassified non-coding RNA is filed under the name soil metagenome. Its description in RNAcentral is "partial contains 5.8S ribosomal RNA, internal transcribed spacer 2, and large subunit ribosomal RNA". The stretch from base 1 to 120 matches the Rfam family "5.8S ribosomal RNA", at positions 35 to 154 of the family's 154-position model. The record is from RNAcentral.
GAUGAAGAACGCAGCAAAAUGCGAUAAGUAAUGUGAAUUGCAGAAUUCAGUGAAUCAUCGAAUCUUUGAACGCACAUUGCGCCCGCCAGUAUUCUGGCGGGCAUGCCUGUUCGAGCGUCAUUUCAACCCUCAAGCACAGCUUGGUGUUGGGACUCGCGUUAAUUCGCGUUCCCCAAAUUGAUUGGCGGUCACGUCGAGCUUCCAUAGCGUAGUAGUAAAACCCUCGUUACUGGUAAUCGUCGCGGCCACGCCGUUAAAACCCAACUUCUGAAUGUUGACCUCGGAUCAGGUAGGAAUACCCGCUGAACUUAAGCAUAUCAAUAAGCGGAGGA